This 704-nucleotide long non-coding RNA is filed under the name Gossypium barbadense (sea-island cotton). Its description in RNAcentral is "long non-coding RNA (GBAR_LNC020615)". Lineage: Eukaryota; Viridiplantae; Streptophyta; Magnoliopsida; Malvales; Malvaceae. The record is from RNAcentral.
UGCUCCCACCCAUUUAUGUCCGACAAUGACAAUUCGUAUUUUAAAAUAUAUGAAAGGUUUUCACCCUCUUCUCCAUUCAUAGCGCUUAAUGAUUAUUAUACAUAUACAAGCUGGCAGAUGCUGAGGUCCUGCUCAUAUGAGCUCAAGGUCAUCACAAGACCAUAGAUGUCAAUAUUUUCUGUUGUUGAAAUACUCAGCCAGUCCAGAUGGUUAUCCAAAUGAGUUAUAUCUUCAGAAUUCAUACAAACCUUAACAUCGCUGCAGCCAUCAACGUUGCAGCUCUGAAGUAGAUGUCAUCAACACUUUUCUCAACUCUCUUAAUCAUCUCUUUUUCCUUCAUAUCCAACUUGCCAGUAUUCUUGCUGAUAUGUACAAUCGUGUCCCUCAGUCUGUUAACUGCCCAGGAGAGCCAAACUAGCCCGAAACCAAGGCUAGUGCUAAAGAGGUUAGAUGUACACAAUGGGGCUCUCACAUACGCUACCUUACAGAAAACAGAAAAGACAACAGCAAGACCAGUCCCGGCAAUGCCAGCAGAGAAUUGGGUCAAAAGUUGAGGAAGUUCAGGCCCAGACUUCUUCAGGGAAAGAAUUGCCAUUUUGCCAUGCCGGUGCUUAUUUACCAUCAAAGAAAGAAGACUCUCACAUGCAUGGAAAUAAUUUGCUUUGUAGAGAUUUCUCUCCCUGGUUGACUUCUUAGACGUCUUC